UACGUAUGGUGCAAGCGUUAUCCGGAUUUACUGGGUGUAAAGGGAGCGCAGGCGGCAGGGCAAGUCUGAUGUGAAAACCCGGGGCUCAACCCCGGGAUUGCAUUGGAAACUGUCAGGCUAGAGUGUCGGAGAGGUAAGUGGAAUUCCUAGUGUAGCGGUGAAAUGCGUAGAUAUUAGGAGGAACACCAGUGGCGAAGGCGACUUACUGGACGAUAACUGACGCUGAGGCUCGAAAGCGUGGGGAGCAAACAGG
This 253-nucleotide ribosomal RNA is filed under the name uncultured bacterium. Its description in RNAcentral is "partial 16S ribosomal RNA". It matches the Rfam family "Bacterial small subunit ribosomal RNA", at positions 524 to 776 of the family's 1533-position model. The record is from RNAcentral.